Molecule: unclassified non-coding RNA, 335 nt
Filed under: soil metagenome
Description: partial contains 5.8S ribosomal RNA, internal transcribed spacer 2, and large subunit ribosomal RNA
Rfam family: 5.8S ribosomal RNA (bases 1-121)
Source: RNAcentral
GAUGAAGAACGCAGUGAAAUGCGAUAAGUAAUGCGAAUUGCAGAAUUUCCGUGAGUCAUCGAAUCUUUGAACGCACAUUGCGCCUGCCAGCACUCUGGCAGGCAUGCCUGUUCGAGCGUCAUUUCAACCAUCAAGCCCUAGGCUUGCGUUGGAGCCCUGCGGCUGCCGCAGGCCCCUAAAAGCAGUGGCGGGCUCGCUAUCACACCGAGUGCAGUAGAUUACUCUUCGCUCAGGGCGUGUGGCGGGUUCCAGCCGUGAAACCCCCUACUUCUCAAGGUUGACCUCGGAUCAGGUAGGAAUACCCGCUGAACUUAAGCAUAUCAAUAAGCGGAGGA